UACGAAGGGUGCAAACGUUGCUCGGAAUUAUUGGGCGUAAAGCGCACGUAGGCGGCUUGGCAAGUCGGAUGUGAAAUCCCUCGGCUCAACCAAGGAAGUGCAUCCGAAACUGCUAAGCUUGAGUACUUAAGAGGAUCGCGGAAUUCCCGGUGUAGAGGUGAAAUUCGUAGAUAUUCGCAAGAACACCAGUGGCGAAGGCGGCUCACUGGCCCGAUACUGACGCUGAGGCACGAAAGCGUGGGGAGCAAACAGG
This 253-nucleotide ribosomal RNA is filed under the name uncultured bacterium. RNAcentral describes it as "partial 16S ribosomal RNA". It matches the Rfam family "Bacterial small subunit ribosomal RNA", at positions 524 to 776 of the family's 1533-position model. The record is from RNAcentral.